This 427-nucleotide ribosomal RNA is filed under the name uncultured bacterium. RNAcentral describes it as "bacterial SSU rRNA". It matches the Rfam family "Bacterial small subunit ribosomal RNA", at positions 355 to 774 of the family's 1533-position model. The record is from RNAcentral.
UGGGGAAUUUUGCGCAAUGGGCGAAAGCCUGACGCAGCAACGCCGCGUGGGUGAUGAAGGUCUUCGGAUCGUAAAACCCUGUCGUCAGGGACGAAGGUUCUGGGGUGAACAGCCCCCGGAUUUGACGGUACCUGGAGAGGAAGCCCCGGCUAACUCUGUGCCAGCAGCCGCGGUAAUACAGAGGGGGCAAGCGUUCUUCGGAAUUAUUGGGCGUAAAGGGCGCGUAGGCGGUGUCUUAAGUGGGAUGUGCAAUCCCCGGGCUUAACCUGGGAACUGCAUACCAGACUGGGACGCUGGAGUACUGGAGAGGGUGGUAGAAUUCCACGUGUUGCGGUGAAAUGCGUAGAGAUGUGGAGGAACACCAGUGGCGAAGGCGGCCACCUGGACAGUAACUGACGCUGAGGCGCGAAAGUGUGGGUAGCAAACA